UUGCAGGCUGCAACUCGCCUGCAUGAAGUCGGAAUUGCUAGUAAUCGCGGAUCAGCAUGCCGCGGUGAAUACGUUCCCGGGCCUUGUACACACCGCCCGUCACACCAUGAGAGCCGGUAACACCCGAAGUCAAUAGUCUAACCGCAAGGAGGACAUUGCCGAAGGUGGGAUUGGUAAUUGGGGUGAAGUCGUAACAAGGUAUC
Molecule: ribosomal RNA, 203 nt
Filed under: uncultured bacterium
Lineage: Bacteria
Description: partial 16S ribosomal RNA
Rfam family: Bacterial small subunit ribosomal RNA
Source: RNAcentral